UGUCCUUAUCUCCUGAGUUGUCCCAAGCCCGCUUUCCUUAUAAAACCAGCUUGGACUCCUCUGAGUUCAAGAAAA
RNAcentral lists this non-coding RNA (75 nucleotides) under Brugia malayi. The record is from RNAcentral. Lineage: Eukaryota; Metazoa; Nematoda; Chromadorea; Rhabditida; Onchocercidae.